CUACAAUUCGAAUAAUCCUCUAAACAAUGAUUAAUGAAUAGAUCAAUUAUAAUGUGCUAAAUUUUAAAGUAAUCAUAUAUCCAACGUAUGAAGGAAGGUUUCUAAUUUAGAAUCAAAUAGUUGCUCGCUUACCCGAGAUUUUACCAUUACCGCACAUGUGUAUCAAUACGUCGGGCUAACACCACCCCUGUUAGCUAGAAAAAUAAAACCGGCUA
Molecule: long non-coding RNA, 215 nt
Filed under: Elaeis guineensis (African oil palm)
Lineage: Eukaryota; Viridiplantae; Streptophyta; Magnoliopsida; Arecales; Arecaceae
Description: long non-coding RNA (EGUI_LNC014088)
Source: RNAcentral